Molecule: microRNA precursor, 136 nt
Filed under: Hordeum vulgare
Lineage: Eukaryota; Viridiplantae; Streptophyta; Magnoliopsida; Poales; Poaceae
Description: microRNA MIR1122
Rfam family: MIR1120/MIR1122 microRNA precursor family
Source: RNAcentral
GUUAUACUCCCUCCAUCUUAGAAAUUUUGUCUUAGAUUUGUCUAGAUAUGUAUGUAUCCAGUCAUGUUUUAGUAUUUAGUUACAUUCAUUUUUAGACAAACCUAAGAUAAGAAUUUUGGAACGGAUUGAGUAGUUG